Colias croceus (clouded yellow) is the source of this 775-nucleotide long non-coding RNA. RefSeq lists it as uncharacterized. The record is from RefSeq and is a predicted model, not a curated record. The transcript is spliced from 4 exons. NCBI's taxonomy places the organism in Eukaryota, Metazoa, Arthropoda, Insecta, Lepidoptera, Pieridae.
GCUUUACUUAAACACGUGUCAAUCAUAACACACUUUACAAUUUUUAUUUCUUUUAUAGUUAAGUAUAAUAGUAGUAAUUAGUGUAUAUCGAGUACUUAGACGGUAGUUAGGUAACUCCGCCUGUGUUUGAGGGUGAAUAGAAUAAAUUUUAUAAGAUUAUUUUAUUCUACCUCAUCGCAGCCAGUCCCAAGCCUGGAUAAAGGAGGAGGUGGUAGUUUUGCAUUAAUACAGAAAGUUUCAGAUAUAAUUUGCUCAGUAUGAUGUGAAACACCUCGCUGCCAGUCAAAAAAAUUGAAACAGUGUUCCUUUUUGCGGAUAUUUGUCAUAGAUCGCAGAAGACGGACAAACAACACAAAAUAAUAGGUUUAAUAUGACAACAUUAAAUCACAAAAACGCCACAAUUGAUUCCCAGUAGAAAUAGGAAAAUAUAAAAGACCAGUUUCAUCCAUAGGAAGAAAGAUACUACUUAUUUUACCAAUAAAAGGACUUGAGGGCAAAAUAUUUUACAUAUUAGGUACAUAUAAAGUUUUGAUGAAGAAUUUUGAUGAGAAAAAAUAUCAAAAAUGCCACAAAUUACUCUAUAACAUAAAGACAGUUUCAUCAGGAGGAGGAAUGACACAACCAAUAAAAGGAAUAAUUGAAGUCAAAAUAUUGUACAUAUAUAAAACAGGCUUUGUAUCAGUACAAAAUGGAAUCACCAGUUUAAUUUGUGUACCAUAUAAUGUUGCUAAUCAACUAAAAAUUUUAAUUCCUGUAGGAACAGCAAUAAUUAUAG